RNAcentral lists this ribosomal RNA (517 nucleotides) under uncultured bacterium. Its description in RNAcentral is "bacterial SSU rRNA". It matches the Rfam family "Bacterial small subunit ribosomal RNA", at positions 355 to 889 of the family's 1533-position model. The record is from RNAcentral.
UGGGGAAUAUUGGACAAUGGGCGCAAGCCUGAUCCAGCAAUGCCGCGUGAGUGAGGAAGGCCUUAGGGUUGUAAAGCUCUUUCACCCGCGACGAUGAUGACGGUAGCGGGAGAAGAAGCCCCGGCUAACUUCGUGCCAGCAGCCGCGGUAAUACGAAGGGGCGAGCGUUGUUCGGAUUUACUGGGCGUAAAGGGCGCGCAGGCGGCUCAUUUUGUCAGGGCGUGAAAGCCCCGGGCUUAACCUGGGAGGUGCGUUUGAUACGGAUGGGCUAGAGUUCGGGAGAGGAGAGUGGAAUUCCCAGUGUAGAGGUGAAAUUCGUAGAUAUUGGGAAGAACACCGGUGGCGAAGGCGGCUCUCUGGACCGAGACUGACGCUGAGGCGCGAAAGCGUGGGGAGCAAACAGGAUUAGAUACCCUGGUAGUCCACGCUGUAAACGAUGUGUGCUAGACGUUGGGGAGCCUAGCUCUUCGGUGUCGCAGCUAACGCGGUAAGCACACCGCCUGGGGAGUACGGCCGC